UUAUAAAUAUCUUGUUAAAUUAAAAAAAAAUUAAUAUUGAGAAAAAUAAUUUUAAGAUAUAAUGUUAAGUAAUUUUUAUUGAAUAUUUAUAUAGACUAUAGUUUAAAGUACUGUAAAGGAAAAAUAAAAAAUUUAAGUUAGUAAUUGUAAAAUUUUGUGCCUUGUGUAUCAGGAAAAAUUUAUAUGAGUUAAUAAUUUUUAUAAGUCUCGAAAUAAAAUAUAGCUAAUUUCAUAUAAAAUUUUUUGUGAAAAAUAAAUUUUUAAUGUGAAAUUAGAAGUGAUAUGUUAGUCGGGUUUUAUUAUAUCUAGUUUUUUGAAAAUAAAUUUAAUUUAAUUUUUAUAUUAAUUAAUAUAAGAUUUAAAUGUAGGAGGGACUAGCUUCUUAUAUGUUGAAAUGAUAAAGAGUUUAAAAUGUUAGUUUUAGUGAAUUAAGCUUAAAAGUAGCUAUAUUAAUAAAGUGUUUUAACUAAACUAAAAUAAAAAAUAUUUAUUUGAACUUUUUUUAAUAUUAGAAAAUUAAUUUAAACUUUAAUGAUUAAGUUAUAAUGAUUUUAUUAGUAUAAAUUUAGUAUUAAUUUUAUUAUUUAAAUAAUGGUUGUUAUUUAAAAAGUUAAUAAACAAUAUAAAGGAAUUCGGCAAAAUGAUUUCUUUGCCUGUUUAUCAAAAACAUGUCUGUUUGGAGGUAUAAAAAGUUUAACCUGCCCACUGAUUAAUAGUAAUUAAAUGGCCGCGGUAUUUUGACCGUGCAAAGGUAGCAUAAUCGUUAGUUUUUUAAUUGAAAUCUUGUAUGAAUGGUUGGACAAAAGAAAAUCUGUCUCUUUGUUGUUUUUUGAAUUUAACUUUUAAGUGAAAAGGCUUAAAUAAAUUAAAAAGACGAUAAGACCCUAUAAAACUUAAUAUUAAUAUUUUAUUUAGUUAAAUUUUUAUAAUAAAAACUUAGUAGUUUAAUUUAUUUUAUUGGGGCGAUAGAGGUAAAAUUGGCACUAACUGCUUAAUGUUUAUUACAUUUAUAAAUGAUUAAAAUUUUAAAUGAUCCUUAAUAAAGAUUAUAAGUUUAAGUUACUUUAGGGAUAACAGCGUUAUUUUUUUUGAGAGUACUUAUCGAAAAAAAAGUUUGCGACCUCGAUGUUGAAUUAAAGUAUCUU
RNAcentral lists this ribosomal RNA (1145 nucleotides) under Ptychognathus ishii. Its description in RNAcentral is "16S ribosomal RNA". Lineage: Eukaryota; Metazoa; Arthropoda; Malacostraca; Decapoda; Varunidae. The record is from RNAcentral.